UGCUGGGUGGAUCAGUGGCGAACGGGUGAGUAACACGUGAGCAACCUGCCCCUGACUCUGGGAUAAGCGCUGGAAACGGCGUCUAAUACUGGAUACGAGUAGCGACCGCAUGGUCAGCUUACCGGAAAGAUUUAUUGGUUGGGGAUGGGCUCGCGGCCUAUCAGCUUGUUGGUGAGGUAAUGGCUCACCAAGGCGUCGACGGGUAGCCGGCCUGAGAGGGUGACCGGCCACACUGGGACUGAGACACGGCCCAGACUCCUACGGGAGGCAGCAGUGGGGAAUAUUGCACAAUGGGCGCAAGCCUGAUGCAGCAACGCCGCGUGAGGGAUGACGGCCUUCGGGUUGUAAACCUCUUUUAGCAGGGAAGAAGCGAAAGUGACGGUACCUGCAGAAAAAGCGCCGGCUAACUACGUGCCAGCAGCCGCGGUAAUACGUAGGGCGCAAGCGUUAUCCGGAAUUAUUGGGCGUAAAGAGCUCGUAGGCGGUUUGUCGCGUCUGCUGUGAAAUCCGGAGGCUCAACCUCCGGCCUGCAGUGGGUACGGGCAGACUAGAGUGCGGUAGGGGAGAUUGGAAUUCCUGGUGUAGCGGUGGAAUGCGCAGAUAUCAGGAGGAACACCGAUGGCGAAGGCAGAUCUCUGGGCCGUAACUGACGCUGAGGAGCGAAAGGGUGGGGAGCAAACAGGCUUAGAUACCCUGGUAGUCCACCCCGUAAACGUUGGGAACUAGUUGUGGGGUCCAUUCCACGGAUUCCGUGACGCAGCUAACGCAUUAAGUUCCCCGCCUGGGGAGUACGGCCGCAAGGCUAAAACUCAAAGGAAUUGACGGGGACCCGCACAAGCGGCGGAGCAUGCGGAUUAAUUCGAUGCAACGCGAAGAACCUUACCAAGGCUUGACAUAUACGAGAACGGGCCAGAAAUGGUCAACUCUUUGGACACUCGUAAACAGGUGGUGCAUGGUUGUCGUCAGCUCGUGUCGUGAGAUGUUGGGUUAAGUCCCGCAACGAGCGCAACCCUCGUUCUAUGUUGCCAGCACGUAAUGGUGGGAACUCAUGGGAUACUGCCGGGGUCAACUCGGAGGAAGGUGGGGAUGACGUCAAAUCAUCAUGCCCCUUAUGUCUUGGGCUUCACGCAUGCUACAAUGGCCGGUACAAAGGGCUGCAAUACCGCGAAGUGGAACGAAUCCCAAAAAGCCGGUCCCAGUUCGGAUUGAGGUCUGCAACUCGAACCCCAUGAAAUCGG
This 1238-nucleotide ribosomal RNA is filed under the name Microbacterium sp. Its description in RNAcentral is "bacterial SSU rRNA". It matches the Rfam family "Bacterial small subunit ribosomal RNA", at positions 81 to 1329 of the family's 1533-position model. Lineage: Bacteria; Bacillati; Actinomycetota; Actinomycetes; Micrococcales; Microbacteriaceae. The record is from RNAcentral.